Molecule: ribosomal RNA, 497 nt
Filed under: uncultured bacterium
Lineage: Bacteria
Description: partial 16S ribosomal RNA
Rfam family: Bacterial small subunit ribosomal RNA
Source: RNAcentral
GAUGAACGCUGGCGGCGUGCCUAAUACAUGCAAGUCGAGCGAACGGACGAGAAGCUUGCUUCUCUGAUGUUAGCGGCGGACGGGUGAGUAACACGUGGAUAACCUACCUAUAAGACUGGGAUAACUUCGGGAAACCGGAGCUAAUACCGGAUAAUAUUUUGAACCGCAUGGUUCAAAAGUGAAAGACGGUCUUGCUGUCACUUAUAGAUGGAUCCGCGCUGCAUUAGCUAGUUGGUAAGGUAACGGCUUACCAAGGCAACGAUGCAUAGCCGACCUGAGAGGGUGAUCGGACACACUGGAACUGAGACACGGUCCAGACUCCUACGGGAGGCAGCAGUAGGGAAUGUUCCGCAAUGGGCGAAAGCCUGACGGAGCAACGCCGCGUGAGUGAUGAAGGUCUUCGGAUCGUAAAACUCUGUUAUUAGGGAAGAACAUAUGUGUAAGUAACUGUGCACAUAUUGACGGUACCUAAUCAGAAAGCCACGGCUAACUACGUG